GCUGAGCAGUUUGACCAGCUGUGCCACACCUGGAAUGUGAACUUCACAUCUGCCUUUAAAAUAAGAAAGACCCUGUCAAACUAGCUGAGCAGGAUUUCUUUUCUGAUGCUACACAUGGAGGGAGACCUGGAAAAUGUUGUUCUGAAAAGAGCAUCACUGGAGAACUGCGGUGGAGAAUAAUCCCAAAUGCACUCUUCUCCUAUCAUUUGACAACUGACAUUUCUCGGUUUGAAAGACUGCAAUCAUAAUUCCGGAGGAAG
Molecule: non-coding RNA, 260 nt
Organism: Chiloscyllium plagiosum (whitespotted bambooshark)
Lineage: Eukaryota; Metazoa; Chordata; Chondrichthyes; Orectolobiformes; Hemiscylliidae
Source: RefSeq, a predicted model, not a curated record